CCUGACCCCAUGCCGAACUCAGAAGUGAAACGUCGUAGCGCCGAUGGUAGUGUGGGGUCUCCCCAUGUGAGAGUAGGGAAUCGCCAGGC
This 89-nucleotide ribosomal RNA is filed under the name Klebsiella pneumoniae. Lineage: Bacteria; Pseudomonadati; Pseudomonadota; Gammaproteobacteria; Enterobacterales; Enterobacteriaceae. The record is from RNAcentral. RNAcentral also lists the same sequence under 2 other names.